GGAUUUCUAUCGAAAAAAUAUGGAAAAAGAACGCCAGAUAAAAAACACCAGAUAAAAAACGCCAAUGCUAAACCCAUAUGUCCUUUUUUAUGUCUUUUUUUCCCCAUAGGCUUCUAUAGGAGAGAAAUGCCAACACUUUGUCCAAAAAACAUCCCAUAGUCUAAGCAUGUUGUGAUUUUGGAAACCUCAGGAAAAUGUCAAAGAUAAAUGAAAAAACACCAACGGAGAAAACACCAAAUUUCCUGUUUCUUUAAAUUCCCCUUUCGCCUGGUUGACAAAGUGACGCUAUUUGGUAUUCCUCGGUCGUUCGCGAUUGGACAUGGUCACCGCUGUCUCAGCUUCCUCUGCUUGCCUAAAUGAAACAGGACAACUGCAAAGUCUUAUCCGCAACGCAAAGAUGUAGCAAGGCGACAUUCAUUUAGUCAGUAUUGUAGACUCUCAGAUCAAAGCAUGCCCUACUGAUACUAGCCUAGACAGGGCAGUGACAUACAUGCCUUUGUAUAAUUCACUGUCAUUUACUCCGCUCUCCUCCUCACUGUGCCGGUACAUUGUGUCUGCGCUGAUCACAUUUUUAUCCAUAGGGAAAAUAUAUCAAAUUAUUUGA
Long non-coding RNA from Hyla sarda, 604 nucleotides. RefSeq lists it as uncharacterized. The transcript is spliced from 3 exons. NCBI's taxonomy places the organism in Eukaryota, Metazoa, Chordata, Amphibia, Anura, Hylidae. The record is from RefSeq and is a predicted model, not a curated record.